UACGGAGGGGGCUAGCGUUAUUCGGAAUUACUGGGCGUAAAGCGCACGUAGGCGGACUGGAAAGUCAGAGGUGAAAUCCCAGGGCUCAACCUUGGAACGGCCUUUGAAACUCCCAGUCUUGAGAUCGUGAGAGGUGAGUGGAAUUCCGAGUGUAGAGGUGAAAUUCGUAGAUAUUCGGAGGAACACCAGUGGCGAAGGCGGCUCACUGGCACGAUACUGACGCUGAGGUGCGAAAGCGUGGGGAGCAAACAGG
Molecule: ribosomal RNA, 253 nt
Filed under: uncultured bacterium
Lineage: Bacteria
Description: partial 16S ribosomal RNA
Rfam family: Bacterial small subunit ribosomal RNA
Source: RNAcentral